ACUCCUACGGGAGGCAGCAGUGGGGAAUAUUGCACAAUGGGCACAAGCCUGAUGCAGCCAUGCCGCGUGUGUGAAGAAGGCCUUCGGGUUGUAAAGCACUUUCUAGUUGUGAGGAAGGUGGUGUCGUUAAUAGCGGCAUCAUUUGACGUUAGCAACAGAAGAAGCACCGGCUAACUCCGUGCCAGCAGCCGCGGUAAUACGGAGGGUGCGAGCGUUAAUCGGAAUUACUGGGCGUAAAGCGCAUGCAGGUGGUUUGUUAAGUCAGAUGUGAAAGCCCGGGGCUCAACCUCGGAACUGCAUUUGAAACUGGCAGACUAGAGUACUGUAGAGGGGGGUAGAAUUUCAGGUGUAGCGGUGAAAUGCGUAGAGAUCUGAAGGAAUACCCGGUGGCGAAGGCGGCCCCCUGGACAGAUACUGACACUCAGAUGCGAAAGCGUGGGGAGCAAACAGGAUUAGAUACCCUGUAGCACAGAG
This 474-nucleotide ribosomal RNA is filed under the name uncultured bacterium. RNAcentral's name for it is "bacterial SSU rRNA". It matches the Rfam family "Bacterial small subunit ribosomal RNA", at positions 335 to 799 of the family's 1533-position model. The record is from RNAcentral.